CAGCACACAGCACACACAUGGCCACGAACUCUGUAACUUUGUGCCCUACUGCUGGCUGCCUGCUCAUCACAACUGUCAACUUGUGCAUCGUUCAUUGCGUUCGUGUUCGUUGCGCUUGCGAGCGGAGACCGCACAGUGUUUGUUCCGCGUGAUAGAGAACUCGCCGAAAAUGAACUGAAAAGGUGGCGCGCGUGUGUGUGUGUGUCGUUGCUGAAGUGAAACCAUCGAAACCAAAGCCGCUUUCGUGCGAUUGCAUAUCAAUUCUACGGGGUAGACGGCAGGCGGUGGCAGUGGGCAGGCGUGGGGUGAACGGAGUACGGCCCCGUGAUUACAUUUCACUGUCGUAUGCAGUUUUGCGUUCCUAGUGCUCUGGAGGAGAAAUACAGCAGACAGACGGCAAAGAGGCAUCCAAAAUGGUGCAAGUCGAGAUUAACAAGAAGCUUCUGCCCAUGAAGGCACACUACUUCCUCUUCAAUGCAGGAACGGCUCCGGUGGUGCCUUUUAUGCCGACCCUCGUGCGGCAGCUGGGCUUCUCGACGGUGAUCGUAGGAACGAUCUACACGGUCCUACCGAUCGUGGGCAUGCUGGUGAAGCCCCUGUUCGGCAUCAUUGCCGAUCGGUUCCAGCGCCAGAAGCUGCUGUUUCUGAUCUUUCAGAUUCUAACAGCCGUCCCAUUCUUUAUGAUCAUGUUCAUACCGGCCAUCCCGCAAGACUCGACUGUCACAUUCCAUUGCCACAACGGUGCGGCCGAUCUCAAGUACUGCCCGGAGAAUGGUACCAGCAUCGAUUCGUGCCUGGUGGAAAGUAUCACCACCAACGAAACCAACGGUACACUGCUCUGCGACAUGGAGUGCCGGACGGAACCGUGGAUGUGGGACACGGUAUGCAACUACUGGAACGUAUCGAAGUACUGCGACGAGAAGAACAUUCCCACCGACCGUAUCCUAAGACUGACGGGUGUUGUACCCAACAACCACAUUAAUCUGGUCGACGAGUGUCUGUUCUUUAUGUUGCGCGAAGGCCAAAUGGACGGCAACCGGGUGCCGCUGUACUGUCCGGCCAAUGCGACCGAUUUCCGCACGAGCUGCCAGGUGCAGUGCAACAACGAGCAGGUGAUGGGCGCCAUCUCCCAUUCGAAAAUUGCCGACAGCGAAGUGACGGGACUGUACCAGUUCUGGCUGCUGUUCCUGUUUCUGAUCUUCAGCUGGGCCGGUAUGGCGGUCGUCGUGAGCGUCGGGGAUGCGAUCUGCUUUGAGAUGCUGGGCGACAAGCCACAUCUGUACGGUAAUCAGCGUCUGUGGGGUUCGAUCGGCUGGGGUACGGUUUCGCUCUUUGCCGGCUUUCUGGUGGACAAACUGUCCGAGGGAAAGCUGACGAAGGAUUACACGAUCGUGUUUUACAUGACGGUCGUGCUGAUUGCGUUCGAUAUGCUGUGUUCGUCCAAGCUGCAGCACACCCAAACACGGCUCUCAACCAACAUCCUGAAGGACGUUGGCAAAAUAUUCGUCAACUUCCGGAUCUGUGUGUUCUUCUGCUGGUGUGUGCUGAUCGGUUUCGGAACGGCCUUGAUCUGGAACUUCCUGUUCUGGCAUCUGGAGGAUCUCGCAAGCGCACAGGAAGGAUGCGGCCAUUCCACGUGGAUUAAAACGCUGGAAGGAAUAAUCAUGUCGAUACAAACGUUCGGUGGCGAACUGCCGUUCUUCUUCCUUUCCGGCUGGAUACUGAAAAAGAUUGGCCACAUCCACGCCAUGAGCUUGGUGCUGCUAGGGUUCGGUGUACGUUUCCUGCUUUACUCGCUGCUCACCGACCCCUGGUGGGUUAUACCGAUCGAGUUUAUGAACGGUAUCACCUUUGGUCUGUUCUACGCGACGAUGGCAUCCUAUGCUAGCAUCGUGGCACCACCCGGCACAGAGGCCACCAUGCAGGGACUCGUCGGAGCGGUCUUCGAGGGUGUCGGCGUGUCCCUGGGCAGUCUGUUGGCCGGCAACCUGUUCCACCGUAUCGGCGGUAGCUCGACGUUCCGUGCCUUCGGUGUUGCGGCGCUGGUACUGUUCGCGCUGCACGUUGUCGUGCAGAAGCUCACCGAUCGCUUCGGUAGCCAGGGUAAGCAACAACAGAAAAUGGAUAGCUUAGCGGACGUUAAGCUGAAGGAAAAUGGGACGCACGGGUCGGGCGGGUUAGGUGGGGAUGGUAUCGCGAACGGGCAGCUGGCCAAAACCAACUCCAUCCUGUCGGAAUCCACCGUACAGGAGGAGCUGCACGAUGGUGAGGAAAAAGGGCAGCUGCGUCACGUAGCUGCAAAGACUGCCGCCAACGGCACCAUUGCUCACCACGUCCCGGAAAAGACGUCCGCAAAUGGUAAACCAACCGAGGGGCAACUGUACGAGGUGCCAUUAAGUUAAAGCGAGUGCGUUCUUUUGUUUCUUUUGCUCCUUCUUAAAAUAUUACUUCAGUUAGGUGCUAGAAAGCUAUGUUGUAAGAUUUAAAAUCCUUCGUUUAGGAGUAACUGAAUUCCACCAUGGCGGUACAUUCUCAUUAACGAACCCCAUACUGCUCUAAAACCUCAACCAAAAUCGAAACAAAAGACUACUAAGAAACGAAAUCAUCAUUCGCCCCCAAACACCCACCAUGAUAGAUAACGUUACAAAGUGAGACCCCUCUUUGGUACUCUUGAUCAUGCUCUGCUCAUGCUGCAGAGUGCCUAUUUACGGUAUGUUUGAUAAGUUUGCAUUUUGUUUGUUUUCCGGGUUUUUGGCUCGUGCAUCUUGCCCCUAGUGCUAUGAGUUUGUCUAGACUAGAAGGACGGUGGUGUACAAUAAUAAUAAAUACGAAUGUAUUCUUCCAUCGUUCUUCACGCGCGAGUAAGUCAUUCAUUUACGACGACCCUGGCAAUACCAUACUGUAAACCACACACACACAAAAACAAUUACCUCACUGUUGUCUUAAACAAGCAAACAAAACAGAAAAUGGAACAAAAUGGCGAUCAUUUUACAGUACAAAUUGUGCAUAUUGAAAGCCAGUCACACGCUUUCGCUGCAACAAUCAACGCGUUUUGUGUGUCUGCCCGAGCUUCGAACCAUCUGCACACUAUUAUGCCAGAAACUCGUCCCGGUUACGCACCGCCGAAGGAGGCUCUGGAAAAUCUGGAGGACGAUCAACCGAUUGUGGCCGGUGGCAGCUAUCAGAAGUAGUGUUUGUGUGCGAUCCAUUCUAAUGCCUUAUUGAGCGCAUGUGUUAGUGUGUGUGAGAAGGAUCCGUUUUAAAAUUACUGACCAUUUUCUUGCAUUUAACUAUAAUUCAUCCUACAGUGGAGAUAACACAUUCCAGUGUGUGCGUGUGAUGUGUUUUUUGAGCGAACGGGUAUGUCGGGCAUUUAUUGCCGGUGACAAUUUUUUUCUUUUUUUUUUUACUAUAUUUACUACUAGAAAAAAGGUAACAGAAUAAACGUAAUUAUAAAGGAAGUGAA
This is an RNA transcript of Anopheles stephensi (Asian malaria mosquito), 3466 nucleotides long. It is a transcript of the gene named major facilitator superfamily domain-containing protein 6, with no coding region annotated. The record is from RefSeq and is a predicted model, not a curated record. The transcript has 8 exons. Lineage: Eukaryota; Metazoa; Arthropoda; Insecta; Diptera; Culicidae.